Long non-coding RNA from Felis catus (domestic cat), 414 nucleotides. RefSeq lists it as uncharacterized. The transcript has 2 exons. Lineage: Eukaryota; Metazoa; Chordata; Mammalia; Carnivora; Felidae. The record is from RefSeq and is a predicted model, not a curated record.
AGAUGAAGAUUCACAUCAAAAAGGCUCACAACCUUUGAGGCUAUAUUUAGUGCUUCUCUCCUAAUGAAUAGAAUAUGUCAGAAGUGACUUCAAAGACCAGGUCAGAAAGGGCACUGUGAUUUCCUCUUUGCCCCUCUCUAAGAUCCCUCACUUUGGGAGGAGUCGGCUGCCAUGCGUGAAGACAUGGAAGCAGCCCUGUGGAGGCUAGCAUGAACUUGCAAGGCACAGGAGUGAGCCACCCUAGAAGUGAAUCCUCUGCCCCCAGGGAAGCUUUCAGACUGCAGCCCUGGUGAACACCUUGACUGUAACUUCAUGAGAAACCCUGAGCCACAACCACCCAGCUAAGGCACUCCUAGAUUCCUGACCUACACUAAUGAGAGUGCAAGAUAAUAAAUAUUUAUUGUUUUAAGCCAC